Molecule: long non-coding RNA, 21780 nt
Filed under: Hordeum vulgare
Lineage: Eukaryota; Viridiplantae; Streptophyta; Magnoliopsida; Poales; Poaceae
Description: long non-coding RNA (HVUL_LNC016015)
Source: RNAcentral
AUGAAACUGAACACUAUGAUUCAAGUACUAGACCUAGCUCUCCUAGAUAUUGUGGCAUCCCAGCCCAGAGGAAACCGGAACGCCCCGUAUUCCAGCCCAGGGACAAGUCUUCUGGAAUACAGUACAGUUGGCAUAGAACAAAUCAGCUCUUUAUUACUAUGGAAAAGGUUACAAGGGUACAUGGAUUACAAUGAUACUACACCUACCUACAGUAAAAUUCUACGCUAGUAGCGGAACAACGACCAUUGUGAUGAACUCCACUCCGCAGGGACUCUGGGUGGAAAGUGUAUCCUAGCUCACAACUCGGGAUCCUCGAGAAGCAAGCAAUCAUGGCAUGACCUAUAAACUGGCAUGACACGCGAGGUGAGUACUUUGAAUGUACUCGCAAGCUCACAACAAACAUCAGCAUUAAGGCAAGACAACAUCAUAGCAAUCAAGAUUAGGAAAAGAUUGAUCAUCGCUGAAGGGAUAGUUGAAAAUAACUAUACCAGGCUACUCUCACUGUACUCUGGUGACCAACUCGUGAUCUCACCAAGAACCUUUAGCGAAUAUCCUCAACACGGACACCAAGACUUGUCACCGGCAUGAUGCCCAACUACUACCAUACUCAGACGAGUUCUUCCAUCAUUAUCAUCACUAUCAUGGUUAUGGGUGACCACCUACUAAGGUCUAGAUGGGCUGUCCAAUACCGUGGCAGCGACUAUUCGAAUAGAUUUUUCACUCUACAGAGGUUGCACACUUUACCCACAUCAUGGAGCACUGACCUCGUGAUCCCAUUCAGGUCGACCAGUAUUGCUCCAACGAAACCUGCCUGACCCGUGACUAUCCCAUCAUACCACAGCCAUUCAUCCUCCCCCGGAGUCCUGCCCUGGGUGGCCCAUGUGUUCUCAUGACACCUACCACCGUCAUGGCCAAACUAAACUAUCCCAAACGGGGACGGGCCCAAACAACUCAACUGGGCUCACAAGGUUAUCGCCGCCUAUCGGGCCAAGGCACGCAUGCGCAUAACCUUCCCUCUUUGGUGGUACCGAUAAAAGAACACGCGAUCAGACCAAGUAAAGGCCAUCCCAUACCGGCAAAUAUGGUUGCACGGAUUAGCUCGGAUAGGUGACUCUCGAUCAACCAAGUAAGUAUCUUAUCCCCGAAUAAUAUUUCUGUCAUGGCUGACACUCCGAUAUCAUAGUAAUCCAGUAACCAAUAAGCUCAUGCCACUGCUAUUGAUUCGUAUCCAGAAACUGCCGGAUGAAACCCAAAAUAAUCAUAGACAGUAAUCUCCAAUGGAAUGGCAUCGACUAGUUGGUAAAAUACUAGUUGCUAACAAUCCCGCACUCAACAUGGUAGUCACCUAUUCAAGAAUUUAUUCAAACGUUGCAUAAUCUAAUCCAUACUACAAAUAAUUAUAAUUGUGUUUAAAGUAAUAGGUUAAACAAUGAUAUUGCAAUGCAAUCAUGCAAAUGAGGGUUGUGGCUUGCCUGGGGGUGAAGGAACCAUCGGGAAGAAGUGCGGAGAGUCCGCGGAAUUGAUUGCCGAAAACAGUUCUCUCUCGGAGGGGGCUGAUUAGAGGCAAGGGAAAAAUAGUCAUUUACACUGUAUGAACACAUAGUGAAAAUGAUAUCAACAUGACGGGCUUGACGAGAUGAAGACGUGGGCUUUGGAAUCACCUCGAUCGGAGUUACGAUCGCAAAGUUGUUGCCGUUCACUUUUUAGGCGGAAAAAUGCCCUAACCAGCGGACGUUCACUAAAUAGUCCUUUUGGCCAGCGGCUGAAAAAAUGAAAGUGCCUUUUCAGAAAUACGUUUGUGGUAAACCAAAAAUGCAUUUCAUGAAAUGUGCCUCCACUUAAACUGGUGUGCGGGCCUGUUGACUUCAUUAGUCCAACUGACGGAUAGGAUCUGUCCCACCCUCUCUCUCUCUCUCUCCUAGCUCUUCUUCCUGCUUGCGACAGGGCACAGAGGAGGAGCGGGGGCGCUCGGCCGGCAACCGCCCGGCCGGCUCCGGCCACCUCCGGUCGUGGCGAGACAACCAGAGGGACCAGGACGAGGCGCCUCAUCCGCCUAGACCUGCUACUCGCACCGGGGAGCAGCAAGACAACUGCGCCAUGCGUUAGCCGCGAGCAGAGGCGGCGGUCGAGCAGUGGAGCCGCGACCACGCCUACUCCGGCAUUGAGCAAAGAGGACGGGGAGGUGUACCGGGAGAGGGGGGUUCUACUGCGAGUAAAAUGGAGAGGGGAAGAGUGCUGCCUUGGCCUAAUUUUGAACGAGGAGGCCGACGACCAUGGCGGCAAUGGAGGACGAGGAGUGCUUCGGGAGCUCGGGUGAUGGGCUGGGGAGGACCAAGGGGAAGUGCGCGAGGCUGGCAAUGAAGAUGAGAGGGGCUCAGGGUACGCCUUAUAUAGGACCAGGGAGGAGCUACGCAACAGUGGCCGAGGCUUCGAGAUGGCCGUCGCCGUGGCGGCACUCCAGCAGUCCACAGAGACAUCCAGGAGCUACAGGACGAGGGGAAGCGGGAUCUGGAGGGUGCGCGAACGCACUGGGAUGCCCUCCGACGCUUAUGGACAAGCCAGAGUUCGCUGGAGAGCCGCUCCCGACAACUCAAUCGCACAGAGCACUGGUUUGGCUGCGUCUGGCGUGGUCACCAUGCGGCCAUGGCAUUGCCACACAACACACGCGGCCAGAACAUGUCUAGGGCCUUCUCCACAUUUCUCUAAGUUAACUUGACCCCACAAGCAAUAAAAGUAGGCUCUAGUUUGACCACACCUUGAUCCACAAGUAGCCAACAACAACCUAUUUGUGUUGUGGUGUGGCCACCACAGUGCUCCUCUUGGCAAGAUCCUUGGCUAGGGUUAAUCAUCUGCUAAGUUCACUAUCCUGGCAAAAUCUCAGCUCAAAUGAGUAGGGAUAGCUAGCACUUGUAGUUCAAUGAUCUCUACUGGACAGAAUUGCAAAGUAUGUAGUGGCACUCACAUACUUUCUUGGAUGGAGCUGAAAUUUGGAUGAGAUGAGCUAUUGAGGAAUAUGAAGACAUUGUAUAAAUUUCAUACAAUCUGGAUGAACCAAAGUGGUACUUCCUUCACAUAGUAUCCCACUAGACAAAAUCUUAGGAGAACUACUAAGGGAAAAUGGCUAGAUAAAAUGAGAUAAAACUUGGUGGAGAGAUGUUUUAUAGAUAGGAGAAUGUUUCGGUAAAAGUUCAGAAAUUAUAGAGCAACAUAAAGUAGAGUUGCUUCACAAUCCAAAAUAAUGACCAAACAAAUAUUUGAUGUUGUGGUCACAUAGUUGCUGGGGUGAUUCUCAAAUUUUGUGGAGAGGCUUUAUUUGAGCAUAUUGAGGCCAUGGCACAAUUUCAACUUAUUUGAAUACUCUUAGCUAGCACUUACUUCACAAAGCUUCCUCUGGAUCAAAAACUUUGGAAAUUUGCCAAGAAAUAUUUACUAGCCAAAUGAGGUUGAAUUUUUUGCAUGAGGCAAUGAUAUGGAUAGGAAAGAUUGACCACAAAUUUUUAGAUCAAGAAAGCAUAUAAAAAGAGUACUUGCUUCACAACUUGACAGCUAGGGAAGAAUCAGAAAAAGGAAUAUUUGAGGAAUAUUUUUGAACAUGGCAAGGAAGGAUUUUGUGAUAUCUAAGGAAGAUAUGACCCAAGAGAUUUAUGAGAAUUAUUUGGGAUUUUUUUAAAUCAUAGAAAUGUGGGUUUCUUCACAACCCAGAGCAAGAGGGUUAUUCCUUUAAUACAAAAAGGAAUAUUCCCAAGGAAAAGAUUAUUAGGAUUGGUUCAAGAUGGAAAUGACAAGGUCUUGCAUUGGUUUGGAGGUUGGCAAGUUACUAGGGAAGAGAAAUCAAGGAUGAUCCCUUUAGGUUCCAAAACUACCAAGCCACAGAAAAGAAAAUCCAGACCAAAAUUAAAAUAAAAAAUGGGCGAAAUCCAGGGUGUUACAAAACUACCCCCCUUAAAGAAAUCUUGUCCUCGAGAUUUGGUUCCUCAGGGGUUCAAGCAUGAAUAUCCCCACUUGAGGAAACUGUUUCUAACUCGGGUUUCCUUUUUUCCUUGGUAUGAUGCUCCUGGUGGGUUAUCUGACUCACUACCUGGCUUCGAGGUGGUUUGUUUCACUGUAUCCUCAUAUGUUACUAUGACUUCGAUCCGUUUAUGUCUCAUGACUUUACUGACACAGGUUCUUGCAGAAAGAUCUUGUUCACGGCAGGCUAUCUUUGGACCGAUUCCCAUAUGUGAGGACACAUGUUCUGAGGUUGUUGUUCAACAUUCUGGUCGUUCUGUCUGUCAACACUUUUAAAUGAAUAGUAGGCCGUGUAAUGCUUUAACAUUAUUGCUGCAAUCGAACUGCUUAGUCUUCCUCAUAGAUUCGAAUAUGCCCUUCUGGCGAUUCUGAGCAUAUCUGGUUGGGCUGAGCGAAUUCACUCGAUAUAUGGUCCUUGCAAAUGGAAUAGACCACAUGGGUGUGUACCCAUGGUGAUUGGUAUCAAACCAGACUGUUUCGAGUAUCUGUACCAUGUUGAUCUUGCAACCAUUAUCAUACCUAUAUGGCCAAUCUUGUUCCUUCAUUAUAGUUCUCUUUGCAUGGAUCCUUAGUUGAAAGAGCUUGGUCUAAUGUGUUCUUUAUUCCUUGGAUGGCCAUGGGUGCUGCCAGAUACAAUAUUCCAGCAGUCAUAUUACUUAACAAGUUGUAGCUAUAGGGUAACAACCGUUUGAACCCUUGGAUAAAACCGGUGAAAGGAUCGAUAUGGUUGGCUAGAGGGGGGGGUGAAUAGACAACGACCACUUUUGAAUUAAUCUUAACAAGUUAAGGUAAACACUAUACGAGUUCACAAAUAAUAUGACAAAGAGGUGACCCCUAUAGAAGCUAUCAACAAGACCUAUUAAGACAAGUAAGAUAUUGUCACAAGGAAAAGAAAAUACAAAGUAAAGGUUAGAGAUAACCACAAGUGGAACCGAUGGAGACGAGGAUGUGUUACCGAAGUUCCUUCCCUUUGACAGGAAGUACGUCUCCGUUGGAGCGGUGUGGAGGCACAAUGCUCCCCAAAAAGCCACUAAGGCCACCGUAUUCUCCUCACGCCCUCGCACGAUGCAAGGUACCGUGAUUCCACUAUAGGUGCCCUUGAAGGCGGCGACCGAACCUUUACAAACAAGGUUGGGGCAACUCCACACAAAGCUUGGAGGCUCCCAACAAGACCACGAAGCUUCACCACAAUGGAAUAUGGCUUCGAGGUGACCUCAACCGUCUAGGAUGCUCAAACACCCAAGAGUAACAAGAUCCGCAAGGGAUAGGUGGGGGAAUCAACUUUUCUCUUGGUGGAAGUGUGGAUCUAGGCCUUCUCAACCAAUCCCUAAAGAAUCAACAAGUUUGAUUGGCUAGGGAGAGAGAUCGGGCACUUUUAAGCUUGUGGAGCAACAAUGGAGCUUAGAGAGGUAAGAGAUAAGGUUCCUCAGCUAGAAGAACACUUUAUAUAGUGGGGGGAAAAUUCAGACCGUUUUCCCACUCUCUGCCCGAGAUCCAGCGGUACUACCGCUGGGAAGGAGCGGUACUACCGCUGCCUGGCGGUACUACCGCUGGAUGCAGCGGUACUACCGCUGGGGCUUCCAGCGGUACUACCGCUUGCACCAACGGUACUACCGCUGGAANNNNNNNNNNNNNNNNNNNNNNNNNNNNNNNNNNNNNNNNNNNNNNNNNNNNNNNNNNNNNNNNNNNNNNNNNNNNNNNNNNNNNNNNNNNNNNNNNNNNNNNNNNNNNNNNNNNNNNNNNNNNNNNNNNNNNNNNNNNNNNNNNNNNNNNNNNNNNNNNNNNNNNNNNNNNNNNNNNNNNNNNNNNNNNNNNNNNNNNNNNNNNNNNNNNNNNNNNNNNNNNNNNUCCGUCCACGAACUACCUCUAGGUACGUGGAACAGGGCACCUGGAGCGGUACUACCGCCAGCCAGGGCGGUACUACCGCCAGCCUGGCGGUACUACUGCUGACCAGGGGCGGUACUACCGCCAGCCAGCGGUACUACCGCUGGCUGCAGCGGUACUACCCCUGGCAGUCCAGCGGUACUACCGCUGAGACCAGCGGUACUACCGCUGGGGACCAUUUUGCCGAGACGCAAAGAACAAAACGGCGAGGGCCGCUCCAAGGAUAAAGGAAAGGGAGAAAAUAGAGGUGUGCGUGUGCAAAGAUAGAUUCCACCCAAACCUUUCCACUACGGAUCCCCUCUUAAUAGUACGGCUUUCCUAUGACUCAAAUGAAGAGAAUCUAGGAUAGCGCCAUGCUUCCGUUCCCAAAGAGAGGAGUCGUGUCGUCUUGUGUCGUUGACGAAUGUUGCCUGAAACCUUGACACACACGAUUAGUCCUGUACGGUACUGUCAUCAAUCACCAAAAUUACUUAGGCAUAAAUUAUGCCUCAACAAUCUCCCCCUUUUUGGUGGAUUGAUGACAAUACCGGAUUUGCAUGGAUAAUAAUAUGAGAGUAAAAAGAUAGAGAUAUAUGACAUAUGACUCACAGCAUAUGAUGGAAAUAAAUCUAAUCUCACAUAGGAAAUAUCAUGUCUCACACAAGAUAGCAAACGAAGCAAACCAAGUUCAAAGCAAAUAAGGCAAAGCAAUGCAAGAUCGAAUGAAAUCAAAUCCCUAAACUCUCUCCCCCUUUGGCACAAGACACCAAAAAGGGGGCACACCUAAUGUCACAGGUAGCUACUCCUCGUCCUCAGGAUCACCAGACUCGUCGGUCCCCUCCUGGUCAGUCUCCUCCUCAUCUUGCGCCUCAUCACCCGACCACUGGUACCCCUGAGCCUGCAUCCACGUGGCCUCAGGCGUGAUGUCGUCCUCUGAGCCACUGGAGAUGUCCACAUCCAAGGUCCUGAGAACACGCUUAUGUCUCUGGCGGCUCUGCUUCUGAGCCACGUGUGUCUGAUACUGACCCUUGGCCUGCAUACAGAAGAGAGUCUUCAUCUUGUCCUGCAACUUGAUAGCCCAAGAUGGCAUGGCAGACGAGCGGGACUGAGAGGCAGGUCCUCUACUAGCAGCUGUCUCUGUAUCAGUGUCCAUGUGCUGAGAAGAUGAAGAUGGGUUGGCCCACUUGUCCUUGACGCGCAGCUUGAUUGGGUCAUGCACAAUGUAGUCAGAUUGUGCGUAGAGCACCUCAUCCGGAAACGCCUGUUGCCACUUAUAGCAGAUGUAUGCAAACAGGUAAGGCCCGUAGAUAGGGACCUUACGGUUGAUGAUGCAGUUCCAUAGUUCUGUGAACAUCACAUCUGCAAUAUCCAGUUGAGCAGACUCCAUAGACAUAGCCUCCUCACACAGUAACAACAUCUCAGCCAAGGAGCCAUGGACCUCAUCGAAGUUACCACUCCGAGGGAAGAGGGUGUUUCGAAAGAUGCGGUGCAUGAUGUCCAGGUGCUUGGGAAGCACCCCUUCCUCAGAUACAGUGUCUACAGUCUGUCCUUUGCGAGGCCCUUAUCAGUGGGGGCUGGAGCGUGAGGACGUAGCCCAAGAGGGGUGUCAGCACCCUGAAAAUCAACGUGCAGGAACUACAUGAACUCUGUCCAGGAACCAGUCAUCUUCUGUGACCCAGUCAUCCAUAUCAUGGAGCGCUGUUCAUCAGGGGAGAAGUGAACUGUGACAUAGAACUGAGCAACUGCCGUGGGGUCAAAAUCCGUCUUGAAGGAGAUGAUGUUUUUGAGGCCCAUCUUGUCAAUCAAAGCAAGGGCAUCACCAAAGUACUCUGUGUGCCGCUGAAGGUGUGCCAGAUCAAUCCACUGGACAGAGACAUAGUUCUUCUUGAAGUUUGCAAUGACAUCUCGAUAUAUCCUGCAAUGGUCCUUAACCCAGACAUUUUCAACACCAUCGAUCUUCUCCCUCUCCUGCAGAUAGUGGUUCUUGGUGCGAAAUUGCAGAAAAUCCUUGGGAGACAUUGUGCGGAUAUUCACCCUCUUGUCCUUGUGAGCGACCUUCUUAAAGGACUUCUUCUUAGGGGGAAGAUCGGACGUGGCAGACCCCUCGGGCGCCUCUGUGUUGCGAAACUGUUUGGAUGCCGUGUCCCGUGGGGGGUUCGAACGGCGAGCAGAGCCACCUGUGACACAGACCACAAAGCAAAAAAGAGGCGACAAGAAAAGUCAAGGCAAUGGAUCUUGAAAGAGCAGAAAACGAAAACAUGCAUUGCUAAGCAAAAGAGAAAAUACACCGAGAAUGCUUCUGGUGGUAGUACCGCCACCCCCGGCGGUAGUACCGCUGGGGCCUGGCGGUAGUACCGCCAGUCCUGGCGGUAGUACCGCUGGGGGUCAUAGCGGUAGUACCGCUACCCCUGGCGGUAGUACCGCUGGGGCCUAGCGGUAGUACCGCUACCCCCUGGUGGUAGUACCGCUGGGGGUUUGACUUUCAGAUUACACAUGUAAAACUCGUUUUCAAGGGCAUGGACUGAAUAUGAACAUUAAGGCAUACACCCCAGCCCUAAUGACAAGAGGAACACAUAGUAAUACGAGGUGCAAACAUGCCUAGGCAAGAGAGAGCACGUUUCAGAUCUAAUCCAAAAGUUCAAAUAUUCGAUCUAAGACGGUGAAGUCCUAAACCAUGGCAGCAAUCAUAACAACAACCAUUGGACCUAUACUCCCCUCAAAAAUUCCUUCAUGCCAUCCAAUAACUAACCAUAGGAUCAACAAGAUGAAUCCAAUCCCCAAUGCUCCUAACCCUAGAACACGAAGAACAACAUAAUAGAAGAAGGGAGGAGCUUUUGUUACCGGGAUUCAUGGCUUUGGAGGAGGAAGAAGAAGUGAAGCAGCCUUUCCACACCAACGGGGAGAAAGAGCUCCACGAAGUGAGAUCCAAUCGGGGGGUUUUCGGGGUAGGGGAGGGAGGAGCCGCCAGGAAGAAGAAACAGAUUGAAAAUCGGGCUCCCCCUCCCUUUAUAUAGCCCAAGGGGUACGGACAGCGGUAGUACCGCUGGGGUGCAGUGGUAGUACCGCUGGGGUCCUGGCGGUAGUACCGCUCCCCCUGGCGGUAGUACCGCUCCCCCUCGAAACCCUAGAAAUAUUCCAGCCGGCCGAGUUAGAUUUUGAGCUCUGGCGGUAGUACCGCUACCACUAGCGGUAGUACCGCUGUGGUCCUGGCGGUAUUACCGCUACCCCUGGCGGUAGUACCGCUGGGGUCCUGGCGGUAGUACCGCCACCCUGGCGGUAGUACCGCUGCAAAUGUCGCAGCGCGGCGUUAAGAAAAGAGAGGGACUUGGGCAUAUGACAAGUGAGUAAGAAGGGAUGACUUCCAAGAAAAUGUACUGACUUGUCAUUGUAUAUCCUCUCCUUUAUACGCACGAGAGGAUGGAGGGGCGGUGGCCGUGGCCACCUAUGUUUGAGACAAUGGUAUGACACCGCGAAGAAUUAUCCUUGGGUUCAUGACCAAUGCUCGUCUUUGAAGCACAAGCACCAUUUGACAAUGGCAAAAGUGAAAGACUAGAUUGAUUUACGCAUAAUAGGGGGAGGGAGAGUUUAUUGAGAGAACAACACUCCCCCUAUGUCCAUGCCUACAUCUAGACCAAGAUGGAAUGUGAAGUGAGGUGCAAUAUGCCUAGUUUCAAUCCACAUUACUUGAAUCAAUGAUAUUUAGCUCAUGCCUUAACUCCCGGAACCUUGCUUCAUCAAGUGGCUUGGUGAAAAUAUCUGCAAGUUGCUCUUCAGUGUGAAUGAAGUGAACCUCAAUAUCACCUAGCUUGAUAUGUUCACGGAUGAAGUGAUGACGAAUAUCAAUAUGUUUGGUUUUGCUAUGUUGCACUGGGUUGAGGAAAAUCUUGAUGGCGCUUUGAUUGUCACAUAGAAGAGGCACUUUGUCACAAGUGACACCAUAAUCCUUUAAAGUUUGCCUCAUCCAUAGCAAUUGUGCACAACAACUUGCAGCUGCCACAUACUCAGCUUCGGUGGAUGAUAAGGAGACACAGUUCUGCUUCUUUGAAGACCAACUUACCAAAGAGCGACCAAGGAAUUGGCACCCUCCAGAUGUUGACUUCCUCUCCACACAAUCUCCAUCCCUAUCUGAGUCAGAAUAGCCAACUAGAUUGAAGUUUGCUCCUUUGGGAUACCAGAGGCCAAAGUUUGGGGUAUGAGCCAAAUAUCGAAAGAUUCGUUUGACAGCCAUGUAAUGACUUUCUUUUGGUGCGGAUUGAAACCGUGCACAUAUCCCUACACUCAACAUAAUAUCCGGUCUAGAUGCACAAAGGUAAAGGAGGGAUCCAAUCAUGGAGCGGUAUACCUUUUGAUCCACUGCUUUACCAUUGGGAUCACUGUCAAGCUUGCAUCUGGUUGGCAUGGGAAACUUGACCGGUUUGACAUCUUCGAGCUCGAACCGUUUGAGCAUGUCUUGAGUGUACUUGGCUUGUUUGAUGAAUGUCCCUUCUAGACCUUGUUUAAUCUCGAAUCCGAGGAAAAACUUCAACUCUCCCAUCAUGGACAUCUCAAACUUCUCAGUCAUUAGCGCAGCAAAUUCUUCAUUGAAUGAAAUGUUAGGAGAGCCAAAGAUAAUAUCAUCAACAUAUAGUUGGCAUAUGAACAAAUCCCCUUUAACCCUCUUAGUAAAAAGAGUGGGAUCAAUCUUCCCAAUUUCAAACCCACGAUCUUGUAACAACUCAGUAAGGUACUCAUACCACGCGUGUGGGGCUUGUUUAAGACCAUAGAGUGCCUUAUUGAGUUUGUACACAUGAUUGGGGAGCUUGGGAUGUUCGAAUCCCGGGGGUUGUUUGACAUAUACCAACUCAUUUAAAGGACCAUUAAGAAAUGCACUUUUCACAUCCAUUUGCUGUAAUUUGAAGUUAUGAUGAGAAGCAAAAGCAAGUAGCAUGCGAAUAGAUUCUAGACGAGCGACAGGGGCAAAGGUUUCACCGUAGUCGAUACCCUCGACUUGGGAGUAGCCUUGAGCCACCAAUCUUGCCUUGUUUCGAAUCACAAUUCCAUUUGCAUCUUGCUUGUUCUUGAAUAUCCAUUUGGUUCCGAUGACAUUAUGUUCCUUCGUUGGUCGUGGCACUAGAUCCCAUACUUGGUUGCGCUCGAAGUUGUUAAGUUCUUCGUGCAUGGCCAUAAGCCAAUCCUCAUCAUUGAGCGCUUCCUGUACCUGUUGAGGUUCACAAUACGAGACAAACGCGUGAUGCUCACAAUAAUUCCAAAGUUGUUGACGGGUAGAUACUCCCCUUUUUAAACUACCAAGAACAUUCUUCAUAAGAUGUGACUUGGCUUUCAGCUUGUUCGCAUUCUUGGCUGCUCGACGCUCCAAGAGUUCUUCAUUAGAUAACAGGGGAGCAUCGACUUGUAUCUUUUGUUUGCCCUUGCGUCUUGAGCCGGUUGUUGGAGCUCCAGAAGGGAAUUGUGAGACAGUCUCCUGAUCACUUUGUCCUUCGACUUGAGCAGGUUCACUAGUUUGAUCUUGUAUUAGUGGUUGCUCUUGAUCUUGAUCUCGUGUUGGUUCAAGGUCUUGGGGUAGUGCUUGAGUGGGCAUAUCACCAUUGUUAGGCAAUUGAUCUUGACCGAGAGCUUGAUCAACUUGUUGAGAGUCUUCUCUUUGUUCAUCGAAAGCGUGUGGGGCUUGUGGGGGUGAUGGCUCCACUUGAGUAGAGCAUUGUCCUUCUCCUUCGGCCAUAAGGGGUUCCUCAAUGGGGAGUAUUUGACCAAUCCCCAUUCUUCUUAUGGCUUCGGGAGGAAUUUCAUCACCUAUAUCACAAAGACCACUUUGCUCCACUUGGGAGCCAUUAUUUUCGUCAAACUCCACGUUACACGUCUCCUCAAUUAGUCUGGUGGACUUGUUGAGGACACGGUAAGCAUGAGAGUUUGUAGCAUAACCAACAAAGAUACCCUCAUGUGCUCUAGAGUCAAAUUUAGCUAACCGAGCUCCCUUUUUAAGAAUGAAACACUUACAACCGAAUACCCGGAAGUACUUGAGAUUGGGUUUGUUUCCAGUUAGAAUCUCAUACGGAGUCUUGUUCAAGCCUUUGCGGAUGUAGAGCCGAUUGGACGCAUGACAUGCUGUGUUGAUGGCCUCUGCCCAGAAGUUGUAUGGAGAUUUGAAUUCUUCCAUCAUUGUUCGUGCAGCGUCUAUCAAGGUCCGGUUCUUCCUUUCUGCCACGCCGUUUUGCUGAGGGGUAUAUGGUGCAGAAUAUUGGUGCUUUAUUCCCUCAUCACCUAGAAACUCAUCUAGGGUAUAGUUCUUGAACUCGGUGCCGUUGUCACUCCUAAUCAUCAAGAUCUUUGCUUCAUGUUGACGUUGCGCUUCAUUGGCAAAGUUGAUGACCGUUUGUUGAGUUUCACUCUUCCUUUUGAAGAAAUAUACCCAGGUAUAUCUUGAGUAGUCGUCAACAAUGACUAAGCAAUACUUUCUGCCUCCAAGACUAUCAAAUGUUGGAGGACCAAACAGAUCCAUGUGAAGAAGUUCCAAUGGCCUCUUAGUGUAGAUAAGAGUUAUUGGACGAUGAGCAGUUUCAUGAAUCUUUCCUUCAAUGCAAGCACUGCAAACACGAUCUUUAGCAAAGCUCACAUUUGUUAGUCCACGAACAUGGUCCCCUGUCAGAAGACUUUGCAAAGACCUCAUAUUGACAUGAGCUAAACGGCGAUGCCAAAGCCAGCCCACGUCAACUUUAGCCAUUAGACAUGUCGCAAUCUUAGUAGGUCGCUUUGAAAAGUUUACCACAUAGAGACCAUUUUCGACAUGUCCAACAUAGGCUACUUUAAGAGUCUUGCUCCUUAGGAGGACCACAGUGUCAAUAUUAAAGAAUGUGGAAAAACCCAUGAUUGCAAGUUGACGAACGGAAAGUAAAUUGUAGGCAAGAGACUCAACAAGCAUGACCUUCUCAAUAGACAAAUCUUGAGAGACGACCACCUUACCAAAUCCCAAUACCUUUGACGAGGAUGCAUCAGCGAAUUGGACAUGGGUGGGCAUAGAUGGAGAAGGGUGCACAUCCACCACUAAGUCCUUGCUUCUGGUCAUAUGAUUUGUUGCUCCACUAUCGAGCAACCAUGACACCCCACCGGAAGCAAACUCCUGCAAUAGAUCAAGGCUUGGUUUUAGGUACCUAUUUUUUAAUGGGUCCUUUCAUGUUAGAGACAAGGGUCUUAGGAACCCAGAUAGCCCAUUCAAUAUCUUCAUCGUAGGAACCAAUAAAUCUGGCAUAAACAUGCCCAUCACUAGCACAACAUAACACAUAAGAGGAAUUGAGUUUGCCGGCUGUGUUAGUAGGAGCGGCUUUGCCCUUCUUGAGGUUCCCAUAGUCCACCUUGUUCCUGUUCACCUUCUGAGUCCCCUCACCCUCCUUGACAAAGAUGUCCAUGAGGGUGAGAGAUCGUUUGCUCUUGUUCUUUCUUUUACCUUUUGACUUGGAGGUAAGUCCAAUUCCUUCCUUUCCUACAACACCCUUUUGAGUGCUCAAGAGAUCGUUCAGACUCUUCUCACCUUGUCUGCAUGACACAAGGCCCUUCUCAAGUUUCUCCUUUAACUUGGCAUUUUCUUCCACAAGAUGAACAUGCUCACAACAAGGGUUAGUUGCACAAGUAUUAUCAAUUAGCACAAAGGGAGGACAAGUAGAGAUCUCCUUGGUAAGCUUUGCUUGGAGUUGAUCAUGAGACUCUUUCAGAGCGAAAUGAGCACCUUUCAAGGCUUUGUGGGCCUUGUCAAGUAUGUCAAACUCUUCUUUGAGUCUGUCACGGCCAACCUCAAGAGCAUACUUUUCAGAUUUAAGCAUGCGAGUAAGAACAACAUCAUGAUCCAGUUUCUUUGGCAUUUUAGUGCAGUCAUCGUUAUAUGACUCCUCAAGAGCCAAACGAAGAGUGCGCUCUUCUUCUAGAUUACUAGAUAAUUCGGCAAUUUCAUCGGCAUAGUCACGACUAUGUCCAUGAAGCUCGGAGAUGGUCUCCUCAUGAGACUCAAUAAGGUCAGUGGCCUCACCCAGUUGUUCUAAGAGAGCAACAAAAUGCUUCUUGGUUUCUCCCUUAAUAGUGCAUAGAAACUUAUCAAGAUCAUGCUCAUUAAGUUCUCCAACAUCACUAUCUUCUACACAAUUUAACAAUGAAGGAGCAGAAGUAAUGUUGGUCUUAAUGAUAGAAGUUACCUGAUUGGUACCUUUUGCCAUGAGGCACUUGGUGAUGUGGUUCUCGUUGGGGGCGUUGAAGAGAGACACCUUCUGGGAAGGGGUAGUGGCUAUAGCAACAGUUGCCGUUGCCACUGUAUCAUCAUCAUCAUCAUCAUCAUCAGAAGGAUACUCCUCCAGGGCCACCAUUCCUUUUGGGUGAGGUUUCUUCACAAAGUUGUUCUUGAUUGGAAAUGAUUUGGUUUUGUCUUUGCGAAUGAGCUUGCCUCCAUUGUCUUCUCUCUUCUCAUAUGGACAUUCUGCCACGAAGUGACUCACGUUGCCACAGUUAUAACAUGUCCUUACUCGUUGUUUGGGUUUGAAACCACUUGAGUUGUUCUUGUUGAAGGUUGGUCUUGAGUUCCUUUUAUUUCCCCAGAAUUGCCUUGAUGCAAGAGCCAUGUGCUCAUGAUAGGCAUACUUUGUGUCUUCCGGGCAGCUCUCCUCUUCCUCAUCUUCUUCUUCUUCUUCAAGAAUUACUCUUGCUUUCAACGCAAGUUUGGGUGAAGUGGUUUUUGAUCGGACACGAGCAAGUGCAUUGUCGACUGUUUCGUUCAUGAUUGACAUUGCAAUGAACUCAUCCAACACUUCACUGGAAGACAGAGAGUGAAAGUCUGGCCGCUGACGAAUGACAGAUGACAUGGCUUUGUUGAAAGGCAUGAUGGCUUUGAGAAACUUGCGUUUGACCCAAGUGUCAUCCACAUCCUUACUUCCAUGAUCCUUUAGUGCCAUGGCAAUAGCAGUCACCCUCCGAUAGAGAUCACGAGGGUCCUCUUCUUCCUUCAUCACAAACUCAUCGGCCUGAUCAAGUAUUACUUCAUAGUUGGAUCGUUGAAUACUUGAGCUUCCCUUAUACAACACCAUAAUAUGCUCCCAACAAUCCUUGGCCAAUGUGAAGGGACGUAAGUGGGGAAGAUCUUCAGGUGGCACAGCAGACUGAAGGAUAAACAGCGCAGAGUGAUUAUAUUGAUUGUCUGCAUCUUCUCUUGGAGUGAGGUUGCUUGGGUCAUGGGGGUAAUAUCCUUGCUCGAUAAUUCUCCACAAGUUUGUUGAGCUGUGAUUCAAAUGAGACUUAAUAGAAAAUACCCAGUUAGCAAAGUCACCUUUCACAAGUUUAGGAGGAGGACCAACAGGAUUAAGACGAGGUGCGAGAACGGGUCCUCCAUAAGUCAUGGGAGGUGGAACAGAGGCAUGUGUUCCAGUCCCAUCCUUUUCGUGAGGUGAAGCAGGUUGCAUACCUUUAGCCGCUUCCUUAGAGGAGUUGGCCUCCGAAUCGGAAAUGGUGGGUUUAACCACUAAAGCCGGUUCGGGUGAACUUUUAGGACCAUCAAUUAAUUCCUUAAGCAUGGUUUUGACUUCGCUCGUCAAGGACGUCUUGAGGGCUGCCAUAGCCGUAUUCAAGUCGUCCCUUGUGACCGAAGUCAAGUCCAUGCCCUCGGGUUGCCCAUGGUUCACUUCCUCUUCGCCUUCCAUACUCUUCGGGUGGUUAAACCCUUAAUAAGGAGACGUGGCUCUGAUACCAAUUGAAAGGAUCGAUAUGGUUGGCUAGAGGGGGGGGUGAAUAGACAACACCACUUUUUAAUUAAUCUUAACAAGUUAAGGUAAACACCAUACGGGUUCACAAAUAAUAUGACAAAGAGGUGACCCCUAUAGAAGCUAUCAACAAGACCUAUUAAGACAAGUAAGAUAUUGUCACAAGGAAAAGCAAAUACAAAGUAAAGGUUAGAGAUAACCACAAGUGGAACCGAUGGAGACGAGGAUGUGUUACCAAAGUUCCUUCCCUUUGACAAGAAGUACGUCUCCGUUGGAGCGGUGUGGAGGCACAAUGCUCCCCAAAAAUCCACUAAGGCCACCGUANNNNNNNNNNNNNNNNNNNNNNNNNNNNNNNNNNNNNNNNNNNNNNNNNNNNNNNNNNNNNNNNNNNNNNNNNNNNNNNNNNNNNNNNNNNNNNNNNNNNNNNNNNNNNNNNNNNNNNNNNNNNNNNNNNNNNNNNNNNNNNNNNNNNNNNNNNNNNNNNNNNNNNNNNNNNNNNNNNNNNNNNNNNNNNNNNNNNNNNNNNNNNNNNNNNNNNNNNNNNNNNNNNNNNNNNNNNNNNNNNNNNNNNNNNNNNNNNNNNNNNNNNNNNNNNNNNNNNNNNNNNNNNNNNNNNNNNNNNNNNNNNNNNNNNNNNNNNNNNNNNNNNNNNNNNNNNNNNNNNNNNNNNNNNNNNNNNNNNNNNNNNNNNNNNNNNNNNNNNNNNNNNNNNNNNNNNNNNNNNNNNNNNNNNNNNNNNNNNNNNNNNNNNNNNNNNNNNNNNNNNNNNNNNNNNNNNNNNNNNNNNNNNNNNNNNNNNNNNNNNNNNNNNNNNNNNNNNNNNNNNNNNNNNNNNNNNNNNNNNACUUUAUAUAGUGGGGGCAAAAUUCAGACCGUUUUCCCACCCUCUGCCCGAGUUCCAGUGGUACUACCGCUGGGAAGGAGCGGUACUACCGCUGCCUAGCGGUACUACCGCUGGAUGCAGCGGUACUACCGCUGGGGCUUCCAGCGGUACUACCGCUGGCACCAGCGGUACUACCGCUGGCCCUUCCAGCGGUACUACCGCUGGCACCAGCGGUACUACCGCUGGAACCAGCGGUACUACCGCUGGCCCUUGGUAGUGCAUAAGCACUACUACCGCCGAGAAAGUCUUCGCAAAAGGGUCCGUCCACGAACUACCGCUAGGUACGUGGAACAGGGCACCUGGAGCGGUACUACCGCCAGCCAGGGCGGUACUACCGCCAGCCUGGCGGUACUACCGCCAGCCAGCGGUACUACCGCUGGCUGCAGCGGUACUACCCCUGGCAGUCCAGCGGUACUACCGCUGGGACCAGCGGUACUACCGCUGGGGACCAUUUUGCCGAGACGCAAAGAACAAAACGGCGAGGGCCGCUCCAAGGAUAAAGGAAAGGGAGAAAAUAGAGGUGUGCGUGUGCAAAGAUAGAUUCCACCCAAACCUUUCCACUACGGAUCCCCUCUUAAUAGUACGGCUUUCCUAUGACUCAAAUGAAGAGAAUCUAGGAUAGCGCCAUGCUUCCGUUCCCAAAGAGAGGAGUCGUGUCGUCUUGUGUCGUUGACGAAUGUUGCCUGAAACCUUGACACACACGAUUAGUCCUGUACGGUACUGUCAUCAAUCACCAAAAUUACUUAGGCAUAAAUUAUGCCUCAACAACCGGCAAAUAAACCAGUAGCCACCAAAACGGACUUUACAACUCAGAUCUGGUACAUUAUUCGAGUAACUCAACCCCGACUCAAGACGGUUGAAAAUCAGCUCACAGCAUGAGACGGUGUCGAUAAGAAGAAAGUAGCAGUUCCCUAAGACGUCCGAGAAACAGCUCAGAGCAUAGGGUCACUUCUAUAGAAUGAAAUUCAACAGCUGCCGAGACGGCCAAAAAAAUAGCUCAGAGCACGGUCAGUUGCCGACAAGAGAAAUAAAAGUCGGCAUCCACCCCGGACGGUCGAAAACAGCUCGGAACAGAGGCGUGGUGCCAUCACCGAAGAAAGACAGGCAAGGGUUCGUCUGUGUCCCAUACACCUUAUCCAUAGGUUGUUGGUCAUCUCACUGAAGUGUAUAACUGGCGUUCUUCUUCUUAUAUAGCUCAUGGAAUAGUCGGAUUCCCACUAGGCUGGCAUCAUUGUAUAAUUAACUCAUAUGGCCUUGGUAUUAUGUCCACCAUAUCUAUUGGGUCUAUGCGGCUAAGUGUUUGAUUCCUGAAAUAGGCUUGUGUCCUCACUGACUUUUUGCCUUCUGACCAACUGUUGUGGAGCGGACCUUGAGAUGCAUGGUUAUAUGCUGCGAGUUGUUGGUGGAAUAGCUUGUACUAGUGAGAAUGCGAUGACUUUGUGACAAAGGUUACUUAGAUUGUGUUGUGAGUCAUCAAGAGUAUCAUGUCAAGGAAGACUGGAUAGCUUCUGCUUGAAGUUUCUAUCGAGGUAGCUUCCUGAAGAAGAUUGGGUACUGUAUCUCAAAUGCUCCCCCCCUUAAAGACUUGCUGAUUAAGACUCGGUACCUUAUGCAUGGGUUUCUUGUAUGAGAAAUAUCCGUGUGUCAUAUUGAGGAAGUCACAGGAACCUUGUGUGAUAAGUUAUCCUGGUAGCUUGCGGAGAAAGACUGGGUUGCUUAUACCUGAAGCUUUGUUUUAGCCAUAUGCAAGCUAAGUGCAUAUAUAUCUCCUUAAUGUUCCGGUUGUCGGUUACUCGUUGUAUGCAACAGGGUGUUCGGCUAUCCUUCUUGCUGAACACUAAGUUCAUAGCACAUUAUGACUUGCUUCCAAAAUAUAGCAGGUUUCAAGUUGUAUUCAUAACACACUCAAUCGCGUAUAUGAAUCAUGCCUUUGACUCAAAAUGUACACAUCCUUGCUUUCUUGCUGAUUCGAUGAUUGUUGCUGCGAAGGUUGCACUAAUGUAUACUUGAUGUUGAUAACCCAUCCAACCAGGAUAUCAUUUAUAUUCAGGCCUGAUAUUCCCGAUAUAAUGUAGUCUGCUUAAAAUUCUAUACUGCUGAACUGAGCUUCCAAAUGAUUGUCUCUUCACUGAUUCUUUGAGUCCAGUGUCGGUGAGAAACUUCCAUAAGGGGAAAAUAAGGUAACACCAAGGGCCCAAAGAAAGAAGCAAGAGAAAAGAUUAACACACACAAAGCAGCAAGAUCACACACAUGCAAUAUCAUAUUCUACAGCUAUUCACAACAAUAAUAUGCAUUCCUACUUAAGGACACAGAUCUCGCAAGAACUCCGGUACUACGACCUAACAUGCUAUGGCCGUGUGCAGAAAAGUGAAUCAAUGUGUGUGAAAGAAAGCUGACGAGGACGAACUUGAUGAUCGUGGGUUGGAACACGGUGGUCACGACCGCAUCAUCAUCAAGCGUAUAGAGAAAAACCGUACUCGUCCUUAGGAUGGAGGGCAGGGUGGGAUAAUGAUGAAAAUAAGGCUUGCGAACAUUGCCCUUUUCUGAUAAGCAAGAUCAGUAAGGCUUGCCAACACGGCUAUAGGGAUGGGCAAGAUCCGGGAUAGAAGCAUAUCUAUCACCGAGACAAUAGGGUGGCUGAAGAGAAUGCAUUGGUGUGGUACCGGUGCUUCAAAUCGACAAGGGAUCAACACAACCACGCACCUUGGUAUCACUUCGCUGGGGCGAAGAUGACACCACACCAAGGAGCAAAUAUUCAACUGGUGGGUACAUGUGGUGCAUCAAGACCCAUGCUACCUGCACUCAUCAAAUCAAUCAUUAGUGAUAAAAUAUCUUGUCUAUAUGCAUGCUAUGCACAAACAAAUGCAACAAACAAGUGCAACGAUCCAACUAGAUCCUAUACUACCGGUUACUCACGCUCACGCGGUCUAGGACGUCCUACAGCCAGACCUCCUCUGAUACCAACACUUGUGGCACCCCCACUCAGAGGAAACCGAAACACCCCGUAUUCUAGCCCAGGGACAAGUCUUCUGGAAUACGGCACCGUUGGCAUAGAACAAAUCAGCUCUUUAUUACUAUGGAAAAGGUUACAAGGGUACAUGGAUUACAACGAUACUGCACCUGCCUACGGUAAAAUUCUACGCUAGCAGCGAAACAACGACCGUUGUGAUGAACUCCACUCCACAGGGACUCUGGCUGGAACGUGUAUCCUAGCUCGCAACUCAGGAUCCUUGACAAGCAAGCAAUCAUGGCAUGACCUGUAAACUGGCAUGACACGCCAGGUGAGUACUUUGAAUGUACUCGCAAGCUCACAACAAACAUCAACAUGAAGACAAGACAACAUCAUAGCAAUCAAGAUUAGGUAAAGAUUUAUCUUCGUCGAAGGGAUAGUUGAAACUAACUAUACCAGGCUUCUCUCACUGUACUCUAGUGACCAACUCGUGAUCUCGCCAGGAACCUUCAGCGAAUAUCCUCAAGACGGACAUCAAAACUUGUCACCGGCAUGAUGCCCAACUGCUACCAUACUCAAACGAGUUCUUCCAUCAUUAUCAUCACUAUCAUGGUUAUGGUUGACCACCUACUGAGGUCUGGACGGGCUGUCCAAUACCAUGGACGCGGCUAUUCGAAUAGAUUUUUCACUCUGCAGAGGUUGCGCACUUUACUCACAUCAUGGAGCACUGACCUCGUGAUCCCAUUCGGGUGGAUCAAUAUUGCUCCAAUGAAACCUGCCUGACCCGUAACUCUCCCAUCAUACCACAUGCAUUCAUCCUCCCUUAGAGUCCUACCCUGGGUGGCCCAUGUGUCCUCAUUACACCUGCCACCGUCGUGGCCAAACUAAACUGUCCCAAACGGGGACGGGCCCAAACAACUCAACUGGGCUCACAAGGUUAUCGCCGCCUACAUGGCCAGGGCAGCACGCGUGCAUAAACUUCCCUCUUUGGUGGUACCGAUAAAAGAACACGGGAUCAGACCAAGUCAAGGCCGUCCCAUACCGGCAAAUGUGGCUGCACUAAUAAGCCCAGACAGGUGACUGUCGAUUAACCAACUAAGUAUCCUAUCCCUGAAUAAUAUUUCUUUCAUGGUUGACACUCCGAUAUCAUAGUAAUUGAAUAACCAAUAAGCUCAGGCCACUGCUAUUGAUUCAUAUGCACAAACUGCCAGAUGAAACCCAAAAUAAUCAUAGAUAGUAAUCUCCAACAUCAUGGCAUCGACUAGUGGAUAAAAUACUAGUUGCUAACAAUCCCACACUCAACAUAGUAGUCCCCUAUUCAAGAAUUUAUUCAAACGUUGCAUAAUCUAAUCCAAACUACAAAUAAUUAUAAUUGCGGUUAAAGUAAUAGGUUAAACUAUGAUAUUGCAAUGCAAUUAUGCAAAUGAGGGUUGUGGCUUGCCUGGGGGUGAAGGAACCAUCGGGAAGAAGUGCGGAGAGUCCGCGAAAUUGACUGCCGGAAACAGUUCUCUCUCGGAGGGGGCUGAUUACAGGCAAGGUCAAAAUGGUCAUUUCCACUAUGUGAACACAUAGUUAAAAUGAUACCAACAUGACGGGCUCAACGCUAUGAAGACAUGGGCUUUGGAAUCAACUCGAUCGGAGUUACGGUCGUAAAGUUGUGGUCGUUCACUUUUUAGGUAGAAAAAUGCCCUAACGAGCGGACGUUCACUAAAUAGUCCUUUCGGCCAGCGGCUGAAAAAAUGAAAGCGCCUUUUCCGAAAUUCGUAUUCGGUAAACCGAAAACGCAUUUCAUGAAAUGCGCCUCCACUUUAACUGACGCACGGGCCUGUUGACUUCAUUAGUCCAGCUGACGGGUGGGACCUACCCCAUCCCCUCUCUCUCCUCGCUCUUCUUCCCGCUUGCGAUAAGAGACAGACGAGGAGCGGGGGCGCUCAGCCGGCGAUGGCCCGGUCGGCUUCGUCCACCUCCGGCCUUGGCGAGACCACCAGCAGGACCAAGACGAGGCGCCUCGUCCGCCUGGACCUGCUACUAGCGCCGGGGAGUAGCAGGACGACUGUACCGUGCGAUGGCCACGAGCAGAGGCGGCGGUCGAGCAGUGGAGCCGCGGCCAUGCCUACUCCGGCGUCGAGCAAAGAGGACGGGGAGGUGCACCAGGAGAGGGGGGUUCUACUGCGAGUAAAAUGGAGAGGAGAAGAGUGCUGCCUUGGCCUAAUUUUGACGGAGGAGGCCGGCGACCAUGGCGACAAUGGAGGACGAGGAGGGCUUCGGGAGCUUGGGUGAUGGGCUGGGGAGGACCAAGGGGAAGUGGCGAGGUUGGCGGUGACGAUGAGAGGGUCUCGGGGCAAGCC